Molecule: ribosomal RNA, 2925 nt
Filed under: Escherichia coli
Lineage: Bacteria; Pseudomonadati; Pseudomonadota; Gammaproteobacteria; Enterobacterales; Enterobacteriaceae
Description: bacterial LSU rRNA
Rfam family: Bacterial large subunit ribosomal RNA
Source: RNAcentral
GGGUUGUGAGGUUAAGCGACUAAGCGUACACGGUGGAUGCCCUGGCAGUCAGAGGCGAUGAAGGACGUGCUAAUCUGCGAUAAGCGUCGGUAAGGUGAUAUGAACCGUUAUAACCGGCGAUUUCCGAAUGGGGAAACCCAGUGUGUUUCGACACACUAUCAUUAACUGAAUCCAUAGGUUAAUGAGGCGAACCGGGGGAACUGAAACAUCUAAGUACCCCGAGGAAAAGAAAUCAACCGAGAUUCCCCCAGUAGCGGCGAGCGAACGGGGAGCAGCCCAGAGCCUGAAUCAGUAUGUGUGUUAGUGGAAGCGUCUGGAAAGGCGCGCGAUACAGGGUGACAGCCCCGUACACAAAAAUGCACAUGCUGUGAGCUCGAUGAGUAGGGCGGGACACGUGGUAUCCUGUCUGAAUAUGGGGGGACCAUCCUCCAAGGCUAAAUACUCCUGACUGACCGAUAGUGAACCAGUACCGUGAGGGAAAGGCGAAAAGAACCCCGGCGAGGGGAGUGAAAAAGAACCUGAAACCGUGUACGUACAAGCAGUGGGAGCACGCUUAGGCGUGUGACUGCGUACCUUUUGUAUAAUGGGUCAGCGACUUAUAUUCUGUAGCAAGGUUAACCGAAUAGGGGAGCCGAAGGGAAACCGAGUCUUAACUGGGCGUUAAGUUGCAGGGUAUAGACCCGAAACCCGGUGAUCUAGCCAUGGGCAGGUUGAAGGUUGGGUAACACUAACUGGAGGACCGAACCGACUAAUGUUGAAAAAUUAGCGGAUGACUUGUGGCUGGGGGUGAAAGGCCAAUCAAACCGGGAGAUAGCUGGUUCUCCCCGAAAGCUAUUUAGGUAGCGCCUCGUGAAUUCAUCUCCGGGGGUAGAGCACUGUUUCGGCAAGGGGGUCAUCCCGACUUACCAACCCGAUGCAAACUGCGAAUACCGGAGAAUGUUAUCACGGGAGACACACGGCGGGUGCUAACGUCCGUCGUGAAGAGGGAAACAACCCAGACCGCCAGCUAAGGUCCCAAAGUCAUGGUUAAGUGGGAAACGAUGUGGGAAGGCCCAGACAGCCAGGAUGUUGGCUUAGAAGCAGCCAUCAUUUAAAGAAAGCGUAAUAGCUCACUGGUCGAGUCGGCCUGCGCGGAAGAUGUAACGGGGCUAAACCAUGCACCGAAGCUGCGGCAGCGACGCUGAUGCGUUGUUGGGUAGGGGAGCGUUCUGUAAGCCUGCGAAGGUGUGCUGUGAGGCAUGCUGGAGGUAUCAGAAGUGCGAAUGCUGACAUAAGUAACGAUAAAGCGGGUGAAAAGCCCGCUCGCCGGAAGACCAAGGGUUCCUGUCCAACGUUAAUCGGGGCAGGGUGAGUCGACCCCUAAGGCGAGGCCGAAAGGCGUAGUCGAUGGGAAACAGGUUAAUAUUCCUGUACUUGGUGUUACUGCGAAGGGGGGACGGAGAAGGCUAUGUUGGCCGGGCGACGGUUGUCCCGGUUUAAGCGUGUAGGCUGGUUUUCCAGGCAAAUCCGGAAAAUCAAGGCUGAGGCGUGAUGACGAGGCACUACGGUGCUGAAGCAACAAAUGCCCUGCUUCCAGGAAAAGCCUCUAAGCAUCAGGUAACAUCAAAUCGUACCCCAAACCGACACAGGUGGUCAGGUAGAGAAUACCAAGGCGCUUGAGAGAACUCGGGUGAAGGAACUAGGCAAAAUGGUGCCGUAACUUCGGGAGAAGGCACGCUGAUAUGUAGGUGAAGUCCCUCGCGGAUGGAGCUGAAAUCAGUCGAAGAUACCAGCUGGCUGCAACUGUUUAUUAAAAACACAGCACUGUGCAAACACGAAAGUGGACGUAUACGGUGUGACGCCUGCCCGGUGCCGGAAGGUUAAUUGAUGGGGUUAGCGCAAGCGAAGCUCUUGAUCGAAGCCCCGGUAAACGGCGGCCGUAACUAUAACGGUCCUAAGGUAGCGAAAUUCCUUGUCGGGUAAGUUCCGACCUGCACGAAUGGCGUAAUGAUGGCCAGGCUGUCUCCACCCGAGACUCAGUGAAAUUGAACUCGCUGUGAAGAUGCAGUGUACCCGCGGCAAGACGGAAAGACCCCGUGAACCUUUACUAUAGCUUGACACUGAACAUUGAGCCUUGAUGUGUAGGAUAGGUGGGAGGCUUUGAAGUGUGGACGCCAGUCUGCAUGGAGCCGACCUUGAAAUACCACCCUUUAAUGUUUGAUGUUCUAACGUUGACCCGUAAUCCGGGUUGCGGACAGUGUCUGGUGGGUAGUUUGACUGGGGCGGUCUCCUCCUAAAGAGUAACGGAGGAGCACGAAGGUUGGCUAAUCCUGGUCGGACAUCAGGAGGUUAGUGCAAUGGCAUAAGCCAGCUUGACUGCGAGCGUGACGGCGCGAGCAGGUGCGAAAGCAGGUCAUAGUGAUCCGGUGGUUCUGAAUGGAAGGGCCAUCGCUCAACGGAUAAAAGGUACUCCGGGGAUAACAGGCUGAUACCGCCCAAGAGUUCAUAUCGACGGCGGUGUUUGGCACCUCGAUGUCGGCUCAUCACAUCCUGGGGCUGAAGUAGGUCCCAAGGGUAUGGCUGUUCGCCAUUUAAAGUGGUACGCGAGCUGGGUUUAGAACGUCGUGAGACAGUUCGGUCCCUAUCUGCCGUGGGCGCUGGAGAACUGAGGGGGGCUGCUCCUAGUACGAGAGGACCGGAGUGGACGCAUCACUGGUGUUCGGGUUGUCAUGCCAAUGGCACUGCCCGGUAGCUAAAUGCGGAAGAGAUAAGUGCUGAAAGCAUCUAAGCACGAAACUUGCCCCGAGAUGAGUUCUCCCUGACUCCUUGAGAGUCCUGAAGGAACGUUGAAGACGACGACGUUGAUAGGCCGGGUGUGUAAGCGCAGCGAUGCGUUGAGCUAACCGGUACUAAUGAACCGUGAGGCUUAACCUUACAACGCCGAAG